RNAcentral lists this ribosomal RNA (420 nucleotides) under uncultured Actinomyces sp. Its description in RNAcentral is "bacterial SSU rRNA". It matches the Rfam family "Bacterial small subunit ribosomal RNA", at positions 355 to 774 of the family's 1533-position model. The record is from RNAcentral. Lineage: Bacteria; Bacillati; Actinomycetota; Actinomycetes; Actinomycetales; Actinomycetaceae.
UGGGGAAUAUUGCACAAUGGGCGCAAGCCUGAUGCAGCGACGCCGCGUGAGGGAUGGAGGCCUUCGGGUUGUAAACCUCUUUCGCCAGUGAAGCAGGCCAUCUUUUUUGGGUGGUUGACGGUAGCUGGAUAAGAAGCGCCGGCUAACUACGUGCCAGCAGCCGCGGUAAUACGUAGGGCGCGAGCGUUGUCCGGAAUUAUUGGGCGUAAAGAGCUCGUAGGCGGCUGGUCGCGUCUGUCGUGAAAUUCCUCGGCUUAACCGGGGGCUUGCGGUGGGUACGGGCCGGCUUGAGUGCGGUAGGGGAGACUGGAACUCCUGGUGUAGCGGUGGAAUGCGCAGAUAUCAGGAAGAACACCGGUGGCGAAGGCGGGUCUCUGGGCCGUUACUGACGCUGAGGAGCGAAAGCGUGGGGAGCGAACA